Non-coding RNA from Phrynosoma platyrhinos (Desert horned lizard), 72 nucleotides. NCBI's taxonomy places the organism in Eukaryota, Metazoa, Chordata, Lepidosauria, Squamata, Phrynosomatidae. The record is from the annotation of a GenBank genome assembly.
GCCAGUGUGGUGUAGUGACUUCAGCGUUGGACCAGGACUCUGGAGACCAGGGUUCGAAUCCCGGCUUGGCCA